Molecule: transfer RNA, 70 nt
Filed under: Raneya brasiliensis (banded cusk eel)
Lineage: Eukaryota; Metazoa; Chordata; Actinopteri; Ophidiiformes; Ophidiidae
Description: tRNA-Glu
Rfam family: tRNA
About the family: Transfer RNA (tRNA) molecules are approximately 80 nucleotides in length.
Source: RNAcentral
GUUCUUGUAGUUGAAAUACAAUCAUGGGUUUUCAACCCAUAGGUCCUGGUUAAAACUCCGGGCAGGAAUA